GUGGGGAAUCUUGCGCAAUGGGCGAAAGCCUGACGCAGCCAUGCCGCGUGAAUGAUGAAGGUCUUAGGAUUGUAAAAUUCUUUCACCGGGGACGAUAAUGACGGUACCCGGAGAAGAAGCCCCGGCUAACUUCGUGCCAGCAGCCGCGGUAAUACGAAGGGGGCUAGCGUUGCUCGGAAUUACUGGGCGUAAAGGGAGCGUAGGCGGAUAGUUUAGUCAGAGGUGAAAGCCCAGGGCUCAACCUUGGAAUUGCCUUUGAUACUGGCUAUCUUGAGUGUGGAAGAGGUAUGUGGAACUCCGAGUGUAGAGGUGAAAUUCGUAGAUAUUCGGAAGAACACCAGUGGCGAAGGCGACAUACUGGUCCAUUACUGACGCUGAGGCUCGAAAGCGUGGGGAGCAAACAGGAUUAGAAACCCGUGUAGUCC
This 425-nucleotide ribosomal RNA is filed under the name uncultured bacterium. RNAcentral's name for it is "partial 16S ribosomal RNA". It matches the Rfam family "Bacterial small subunit ribosomal RNA", at positions 354 to 796 of the family's 1533-position model. The record is from RNAcentral.